UGGUUGGAAGAACAGUCCCAGAUGAUUCGUACAAAGUCCGACCAUAGGAGGUUUUGUAUGUAUUAUCUGGAAUUGUGCACAACC
This 84-nucleotide microRNA precursor is filed under the name Haemonchus contortus (barber pole worm). RNAcentral's name for it is "microRNA hco-mir-5897c precursor". It matches the Rfam family "mir-5897 microRNA precursor family". The record is from miRBase by way of RNAcentral. Lineage: Eukaryota; Metazoa; Nematoda; Chromadorea; Rhabditida; Trichostrongylidae.